GGGAGCGAAUCAGAUUCGACGUUGGUGGUUGAAGCCGCACUGCAAGCCGUGGCGCCAAGACACGUUAAACUGGCAAAGCACAUAGGUGCAAAACCCAAUUUCCAACCCCUUCCGCUGGUAGCUUAGCCACCGGCUGAAGGGAGUAGAGGCCGAUAGCCCUCUACCGCUCCUGCAGGUUCGUCUCCCGGCACGAACUGCAACGAGUGUCAUAAAAAGCCAGGGUGCCCGCCGUCCACGCCGAUAAGACGGCGCCAAGUUCUGUCGGCUAGCGUGAUGUGAACCGAGCCCUCUGGGCUGCAUGACGUGAAACUUUUCAGAGAGCUAAGCUUGUAGAUGUGCGAGAUUCGAAACUAGCGGACCCGGGGGGCAGGUCCCCGGCGCUUCCACUC
This 389-nucleotide transfer-messenger RNA is filed under the name Chloroflexota bacterium. It matches the Rfam family "transfer-messenger RNA". Rfam says of the family: Bacterial tmRNA, also known as 10Sa RNA or SsrA, is named for its dual tRNA and mRNA-like properties. Its role is to liberate the mRNA from a stalled ribosome. To accomplish this part of the tmRNA is used as a reading frame that ends in a translation stop signal. The record is from RNAcentral. Lineage: Bacteria; Bacillati; Chloroflexota.